RNA transcript from Gossypium raimondii (Peruvian cotton), 437 nucleotides. RefSeq lists it as uncharacterized. The transcript is spliced from 3 exons. Lineage: Eukaryota; Viridiplantae; Streptophyta; Magnoliopsida; Malvales; Malvaceae. The record is from RefSeq and is a predicted model, not a curated record.
UUUCGGUUUUACCUCGAUUGAGUGAUGCAAAACACCAAGAUUGUUGAGCCUUUUACAGCUCAUUAUGUGUUUGCGUUGGGUGUUGCAAGGGACAAAGUUCUUUGUAGUUUGUGAACCAGGGACAAAACUGUUUAUGAGCUCUACACAGAUUAUGUUUUGAAGAACCCCUUCUAUGAGAUGGAGAUGCCCAUACGAUUCGAACUCUUUGACAUCAACUUGACACAGGCAGUACAGAGGGAUCGUGUUGCGCUUUUGGGGCGAUAAGCUAUCCUGGAACCUUUAUCUUACCAAAAUGUCACCAUCUCUUAUCUUCAUCCGUACACUUUUGAUGGAAGAUUGCUAUCAAGUUUGUAUAAACCUGUGUAUUGGGAUAUCAUCAAGCUCCUUUGUUUAGCUCAUAAGUGCUGAAUUAUUUAUAACAUAUGAUGAUUUCUGGA